RNAcentral lists this ribosomal RNA (220 nucleotides) under uncultured Glomus. Its description in RNAcentral is "partial small subunit ribosomal RNA". It matches the Rfam family "Eukaryotic small subunit ribosomal RNA", at positions 591 to 817 of the family's 1831-position model. Lineage: Eukaryota; Fungi; Glomeromycota; Glomeromycetes; Glomerales; Glomeraceae. The record is from RNAcentral.
CCAAUAGCGUAUAUUAAAGUUGUUGCAGUUAAAAAGCUCGUAGUUGAAUUUCGGGACCAAUUUGUUGGUCGUGCCUCGGUACGUACUGGUAUUAUUGGUUUCUCCCUUCUGAAGAACCUUGAUGUCAUUAAUUUGGUGUCUUGGGGAAUCAGGACUGUUACUUUGAAAAAAUUAGAGUGUUUAAAGCAGGCAUACGCUUGAAUACAUUAGCAUGGAAUAA